AUUGAACGCUGGCGGCAUGCCUUACACAUGCAAGUCGAACGGCAGCAUGGAAGAGCUUGCUCUUCUGAUGGCGAGUGGCGAACGGGUGAGUAAAGCAUCGGAACGUACCGUGUAGUGGGGGAUAACGUAGCGAAAGUUACGCUAAUACCGCAUACGCACUGAGGUGGAAAGCAGGGGAUCGCAAGACCUUGCGCGAUUGGAGCGGCCGAUGUCAGAUUAGCUAGUUGGUGGGGUAAAGGCCCACCAAGGCGACGAUCUGUAGCUGGUCUGAGAGGACGACCAGCCACACUGGGACUGAGACACGGCCCAGACUCCUACGGGAGGCAGCAGUGGGGAAUUUUGGACAAUGGGCGCAAGCCUGAUCCAGCAAUGCCGCGUGCAGGAAGAAGGCCUUCGGGUUGUAAACUGCUUUGUACGGAACGAAAGGUCUGGGUUAAUACCCUGGGCUCAUGACGGUACCGUAAGAAUAAGCACCGGCUAACUACGU
Molecule: ribosomal RNA, 487 nt
Filed under: uncultured bacterium
Lineage: Bacteria
Description: bacterial SSU rRNA
Rfam family: Bacterial small subunit ribosomal RNA
Source: RNAcentral